AUUGAACGCUGGCGGCGUGCCUAACACAUGCAAGUCGAGCGGUAACAGGUGUAGCAAUACAUGCUGACGAGCGGCGAACGGGUGAGUAAUGCUUCGGAAUCUACCCAAUGGUGGGGAAUAACCAGCCGAAAGGUUGGCUAAUACCGCAUACGUCCCACGGGAGAAAGCAGGGGAUCGCAAGACCUUGCGCCAAUGGAUGAGCCGAAGUCGGAUUAGCUAGUUGGAGGGUAACGGCCUACCAAGGCGACGAUCCGUAGCUGGUCUGAGAGGACGACCAGCCACACUGGGACUGAGACACGGCCCAGGACUCCUACGGGAGGCAGCAGUGGGGAAUAUUGGACAAUGGGGGAAACCCUGAUCCAGCGACGCCGCGUGUGUGAAGAAGGCCUGCGGGUUGUAAAGCACUUUUAGU
This 412-nucleotide ribosomal RNA is filed under the name uncultured bacterium. RNAcentral describes it as "bacterial SSU rRNA". It matches the Rfam family "Bacterial small subunit ribosomal RNA", at positions 30 to 440 of the family's 1533-position model. The record is from RNAcentral.